Molecule: unclassified non-coding RNA, 401 nt
Filed under: Hevea brasiliensis (rubber tree)
Lineage: Eukaryota; Viridiplantae; Streptophyta; Magnoliopsida; Malpighiales; Euphorbiaceae
Source: RNAcentral
GGGAAGCCGAUUACAUCAAUUUCGCUGAGUUCCGGGACCACGAAGGGGAAGCCGAAGUUCUUGCCAUUUAAUGAUGAAUUGAUAAAUUCUACUAUGCAGAUUUAUAAGACCUCGUUUGCCUUCAGAAAUAAAGAAUUCCCUCUCGGGCAUGGAAAGGCUUUGCAGUUCAUUUACGGUAGCAAGAAGUUUGACUCGAAGGGGGGGCUCAUAGUAACGACAGCUACCUGUAACAUAUACCGAAGCGAAGAAUUCAAGCACACAAUGAAGGACAUCCAGUCUCAGUGUUGCAGCCCAGAUGAAGUUGUAUUCGGUCCCGACUUCCAUCAAUCUUUAUAUUGCCACCUUCUAUGUGGCUUAAUCUACGCUGACGAAGUGCAGCUUGUGUCUGCGACCUUCGCCCA